Oncorhynchus keta (chum salmon) is the source of this 213-nucleotide long non-coding RNA. RefSeq lists it as uncharacterized. The record is from RefSeq and is a predicted model, not a curated record. NCBI's taxonomy places the organism in Eukaryota, Metazoa, Chordata, Actinopteri, Salmoniformes, Salmonidae. The transcript has 3 exons.
CCUACUAGAAGACAGGUUGAGUACAGAACGGCCUAAUAGAAGACAGGUUGAGUACAGAACGGCCUACUAGAAGACAGGUUGAGUACAGAACGGCCUAAUAGAAGACAGGUUGAGUACAGAACGGCCUACUAGAAGACAGGUUGAGUACAGAACGGCCUAAUAGAAGACAGGUUGAGUACAGAACGGCCUACUAGAAGACAGGUUGAGUACAGA